GAUCCUGGCUCAGGAUGAACGCUAGCUACAGGCUUAACACAUGCAAGUCGAGGGGCAGCAUGGCCUAUCUUUCGGGAUAGGCUGAUGGCGACCGGCGCACGGGUGAGUAACGCGUAUCCAACCUUCCCUUUACUGGGGUUCAGCCCGUCGAAAGGCGGAUUAAUCCCCCAUGUUCUCCGUCCCGGACAUCUGUGUCGGAGCAAAGAUUUAUCGGUAAAGGAUGGGGAUGCGUCCGAUUAGCUUGUUGGCGGGGUAACGGCCCACCAAGGCAUCGAUCGGUAGGGGUUCUGAGAGGAAGGUCCCCCACACUGGAACUGAGACACGGUCCAGACUCCUACGGGAGGCAGCAGUGAGGAAUAUUGGUCAAUGGCCGCAAGGCUGAACCAGCCAAGUAGCGUGAGGGAAGACUGCCCUAUGGGUUGUAAACCUCUUUUAUGCGGGGAUAAAGGCGUCCACGUGUGGAUGUUUGCAGGUACCGCAUGAAUAAGGACCGGCUAAUUCCGUGCCAGCAGCCGCGGUAAU
RNAcentral lists this ribosomal RNA (522 nucleotides) under uncultured bacterium. RNAcentral's name for it is "bacterial SSU rRNA". It matches the Rfam family "Bacterial small subunit ribosomal RNA", at positions 15 to 524 of the family's 1533-position model. The record is from RNAcentral.